GUAGCUGCAGGAAAAGAAAUCAACCGAGAUUCCCAAAGUAGCGGCGAGCGAAAUGGGAAGAGCCUGUACGUGAUAGUCGGACUGAUAGAAGAAUCCUCUGGAAAUAGGAACCGUAGCGGGUGAUAGUCCCGUAUUCGAAAUCAGACCGGUGAUACUAAGCGUACGACAAGUAGGGCGGGACACGUGACAUCCUGUCUGAAUAUGGGGGGACCAUCCUCCAAGGCUAAAUACUCG
RNAcentral lists this ribosomal RNA (234 nucleotides) under Janthinobacterium lividum. RNAcentral describes it as "partial 23S ribosomal RNA". It matches the Rfam family "Bacterial large subunit ribosomal RNA", at positions 206 to 475 of the family's 2925-position model. Lineage: Bacteria; Pseudomonadati; Pseudomonadota; Betaproteobacteria; Burkholderiales; Oxalobacteraceae. The record is from RNAcentral.